This 253-nucleotide ribosomal RNA is filed under the name uncultured bacterium. RNAcentral describes it as "partial 16S ribosomal RNA". It matches the Rfam family "Bacterial small subunit ribosomal RNA", at positions 524 to 776 of the family's 1533-position model. The record is from RNAcentral.
UACGAAGGGUGCAAGCGUUAGUCGGAAUUACUGGGCGUAAAGCGUGCGUAGGCGGUUUUGUAAGCCAGAUGUGAAAGCCCCGGGCUCAACCUGGGAAUGGCAUUUGGGACUGCAAGGCUUGAGUGCGGCAGAGGAGACUGGAAUUCCUGGUGUAGCAGUGAAAUGCGUAGAUAUCAGGAGGAAUACCGAUGGCGAAGGCAGGUCUCUGGGCUGACACUGACGCUCAUGCACGAAAGCGUGGGGAGCAAACAGG